This 443-nucleotide ribosomal RNA is filed under the name uncultured bacterium. RNAcentral describes it as "partial 16S ribosomal RNA". It matches the Rfam family "Bacterial small subunit ribosomal RNA", at positions 338 to 795 of the family's 1533-position model. The record is from RNAcentral.
CCUACGGGUGGCAGCAGUGGGGAAUAUUGCGCAAUGGGCGAAAGCCUGACGCAGCGACGCCGCGUGAGGGAUGAAGGCCCUCGGGUUGUAAACUUCUUUUAUCAAGGACGAAACAAAGGACGGUAAUGGAUGAAUAAGCCACGGCUAACGACGGGCCAGCAGCCGCGGUAAUCCGUAGGUGGCAAGGGUUAUCCGGAUUUACUGGGUGUAAAGGGCGUGGAGGCGGGACUGCAAGUCAGAUUUGAAAACCAUGGGCUCACCCCCGUGCCUGCAUUUGAAACUGUCGUUCUUGAGUGUUGGACAGUCAGGCGGAAUUCCGUGUGUAGCGGUGAAAUGCGUCGCUAUACGGAGGAACACCAGUGGCGCAGGCGGCCUGCUGGACAAUACCUGACGCUGCGGCGCGAGCGCGUGGGGAGCAAACAGGAUUAGAUACCCGGGUAGUC